This 220-nucleotide non-coding RNA is filed under the name Rhodobacter sp. The record is from RNAcentral. RNAcentral also lists the same sequence under 1 other name. Lineage: Bacteria; Pseudomonadati; Pseudomonadota; Alphaproteobacteria; Rhodobacterales.
CGGCAAAUGAACUGGCAAGGUGUCCAUCAGGUGCAAAGCACCCGGACUCAAUCGGGAAUGGGGAACGGGCGAACCCACACAGGGCGCCCCAAGCCUCAACCGCCCCCGCGACUGUAUGCGGCGAGCGGCCUUUCAACAGCCACUGACCCCUUGGGGUUGGGAAGGCGGAAGGUCGCCGUGACCCGCAAGUCAGGAAACCGGCCCUGCAAGAGGACGAAAA